RNAcentral lists this transfer RNA (58 nucleotides) under Drosophila simulans. RNAcentral's name for it is "tRNA-Arg". The record is from RNAcentral. Lineage: Eukaryota; Metazoa; Arthropoda; Insecta; Diptera; Drosophilidae.
GCCCCAGUGGCCUAAUGGAUAAGGCAUGCGGCCUCCUAAGCCGGGGAUUGUGGGUUCG